GUGGGGAAUCUUCCGCAAUGGACGAAAGUCUGACGGAGCAACGCCGCGUGAGUGAAGAAGGUUUUCGGAUCGUAAAGCUCUUUCGUUAGGGACGAACGUGCUCUUUGUGAAUAAUGAGGAGUAAUGACGGUACCUAAAUAAGAAGCCACGGCUAACUACGUGCCAGCAGCCGCGGUAAUACGUAGGUGGCAAGCGUUGUCCGGAAUUAUUGGGCGUAAAGCGCGCGCAGGCGGGAUAUCAAGUCUGUCUUAAAAGUGCGAGGCUCAACCUCGUGAGGGGACAGAAACUGGUAUUCUUGAGUGUCGGAGAGGAAAGUGGAAUUCCAAGUGUAGCGGUGAAAUGCGUAGAGAUUUGGAAGAACACCAGUGGCGAAGGCGACUUUCUGGACGAUGUCUGACGCUGAGGCGCGAAAGCUAGGGAGCGAACGGGAUUAGAUACCCCUGUAGUCC
RNAcentral lists this ribosomal RNA (449 nucleotides) under uncultured bacterium. RNAcentral's name for it is "partial 16S ribosomal RNA". It matches the Rfam family "Bacterial small subunit ribosomal RNA", at positions 354 to 796 of the family's 1533-position model. The record is from RNAcentral.